RNAcentral lists this long non-coding RNA (327 nucleotides) under Homo sapiens (human). RNAcentral describes it as "HSALNT0301456". The record is from RNAcentral. Lineage: Eukaryota; Metazoa; Chordata; Mammalia; Primates; Hominidae.
GUGGUUUCUAAAGACUCUCCUAGCAACAAAACUUAUAAAUAAGGUCCUGCUCCCUGCCUGCCCAUCUUCGACCUCAGCCCUCCUCCUCCAAAGCAGUCCCUCAGAACCCCUCCUGGUUUCAGUCUGGAUCCCACCACAUGUUGAAUGGCACCCUCUCAAUCUGGGACAGCGUCCGUUGAUUUUCUCCUGUGAUAAAUGAGUGCCUGGAGUAGGGAUGGCACAGAAGAACUAUUCAGCACAUGAAGCAGUGAAUGAAAAGACAAAAGGGCAAGAAAAGGAGAGAACAGUGGAGAAAAAAGAUUUUAAUUAAAUACAUGUGGGAAUUUA